Molecule: non-coding RNA, 1389 nt
Organism: Lactuca sativa (garden lettuce)
Lineage: Eukaryota; Viridiplantae; Streptophyta; Magnoliopsida; Asterales; Asteraceae
Source: RefSeq, a predicted model, not a curated record
UGAAAAAAGAGGGAGAGACCGAGACGAAAGACUGAUAACGAAGAAAGAUUCAUCGUCUCUGUUCAUCUACUCUCCUAGUAGCACUCGUCUUGUGUUAUAAACUCUGUCCUAAGUGUGAAUACGAGGAAUGCAAGGAUCUUGAAUCUUACAUUGAUUUGAGAGAUGAAAGGGACACAAGAUGAAAAGGAUUGUGUUGAUGAUAUCUUCAAUUCCAAGGGAUAUUGCGAAGGCUACAACAGUACAACGAGACCAGAGAUAACAUCGAUUGUUGAGGAAACCGAAUCUUUGCAAUCUUCUAAGUUUAACAACUUCAGACUCUGUUAAACUUUAUAAGGUGGUGGGAAGCAGGAUUUUGAACUAGGUAGUGAGGUAUGAGUACAAUGUACAAGCUUUAACAGCAAGUGUAUUCCUAUAAUGUCAAUUGUGCAUACUUUCUUGAUCUUCUCUCGUUCUAUUUGUGCUCCUGGUUGCUGAUUGCUUUCUAGAUGUUGGUGGGUUUUAUUGGUUUCUUGACCAUUUUGCCCCUGCCUGGCAUUUUUUGGUGUAGUGCUUGUUAACUGAGGUUUUCUCCCUCUAUUCAUCUGUUUGCUUUUGUUUUGGUCUGCUAUGCUCUCUAUGUUGAUGGUGGGAUAGAUCUUUGCAAUUUGGACCUUUUUACCCUUAUGGGGUGUUUUUCUUAUUGUUUUUAGUUCUCUGUAUCUUUUUGCUUUUGUUUGUUUGAUUCUUCUUGAAUUGGCAUAACUUCGUUAAUUGGAUCAAAAUAUAAAGCCUGGUUAUUCAAUUAGGCCCAUGUCUCACUCUAUUACUUCAUUUUCUGGCUCAGUAAGUUAUUUUCCUGUCAUUGUUCAAAUUGAAGUUGUUUUUUGCAAUUUGUUUCAACAUUUUCAGUUUUGUAUAACUUUUUUUUUAUGUUUGUUUUUCUUUCGUUUUUGUACCCCUUUUUUCCAUUUUUUAAAAUUGUUUUAUUAAUGCAUUUUUAUUUCCUUUUUCUUUUGUAGUAAUGGGUCAAAUUUCAAUUUUGACAAACAUCAUGGAUGUUUUUCCAAAAACCAAUCAAAAGUACCAUGGAUUAAUAUAGAGAAAAGCAUAGAAACAUGUUAUAAUAGCAAUGUACUUUCAUUUAUUUCAAUUAUUUGUCAAGUUUAAUGUUUAUUUUACAAAAUGAAUGUAAGAUGCUCUACAACAAAAUGAAAGUAAAUUGCUUUUCUUGCAUCUAGCCCAAUAGGGGCCAAUUGCAAGAAAUAACAAUAUUCUUUCAUUAUGUUGUCUAAUAUAGCAUCAUACUUUCAAUCUUUCUUUUCUUAUUCUUAGUUUUUGUUCUUAUUAAACGAUUGUACUUUGAAAGUACAAUCAUAUUGUCGAUAAAAUUGUAAUGGUAAUAAAAACUCA